UNUGACUUGAGUGCAGAAGGGGAGAGUGGAAUUCCAUGUGUAGCGGUGAAAUGCGUAGAUAUAUGGAGGANCACCAGUGGCGAAAGCGGCUCUCUGGUCUGUCACUGACGCUGAGGCUCGAAAGCGUGGGUAGCGAACAGGAUUAGAUACCCUGGUAGUNCACGCCGUAAACGAUGAGUGCUAGGUGUUAGGCCCUUUCCGGGGCUUAGUGCCGGAGCUAACGCAAUAAGCACUCCGCCUGGGGAGUACGACCGCAAGGUUGAAACUCAAAGGAAUUGACGGGGGCCCGCACAAGCGGUGGGGCAUGUGGUUUAAUUCGAAGCAACGCGAAGAACCUUACCAGGUCUUGACAUCCCGAUGCUAUUCUUAGAGAUAGGAAGUUACUUCGGUACAUCGGAGACAGGUGGUGCAUGGUUGUCGUCAGCUCGUGUCGUGAGAUGUUGGGUUAAGUCCCGCAACGAGCGCAACCCUUAUUGUUAGUUGCCAUCAUUAAGUUGGGCACUCUAGCGAGACUGCCGGUAAUAAACCGGAGGAAGGUGGGGAUGACGUCAAAUCAUCAUGCCCCUUAUGACCUGGGCUACACACGUGCUACAAUGGUCGGUACAAUGAGUUGCGAGCCGGUGACGGCAAGCUAAUCUCUGAAAGCCGAUCUCAGUUCGGAUUGGAGGCUGCAACUCGCCUCCAUGAAGUCGGAAUCGCUAGUAAUCGCGGAUCAGCACGCCGCGGUGAAUACGUUCCCGGGCCUUGUACACACCGCCCGUCACACCACGAGAGUUUGUAACACCCGAAGUCGGUGAGGUAACCUUUUAGGGGCCAGCCG
This 820-nucleotide ribosomal RNA is filed under the name uncultured bacterium. RNAcentral describes it as "bacterial SSU rRNA". It matches the Rfam family "Bacterial small subunit ribosomal RNA", at positions 636 to 1455 of the family's 1533-position model. The record is from RNAcentral.